RNAcentral lists this non-coding RNA (27 nucleotides) under Mus musculus (house mouse). The record is from RNAcentral. Lineage: Eukaryota; Metazoa; Chordata; Mammalia; Rodentia; Muridae.
UGGCAAUGUAUUGUCCGAAGGCUAGCA